Molecule: ribosomal RNA, 253 nt
Filed under: uncultured bacterium
Lineage: Bacteria
Description: partial 16S ribosomal RNA
Rfam family: Bacterial small subunit ribosomal RNA
Source: RNAcentral
UACGUAGGGUGCGAGCGUUGUCCGGAAUUAUUGGGCGUAAAGAGCUCGUAGGCGGUCUGUCGCGUCGGUCGUGAAAACUUGGGGCUUAACCCUGAGCUUGCGGUCGAUACGGGCAGGCUCGAGUUCGGUAGGGGAGACUGGAAUUCCUGGUGUAGCGGUGAAAUGCGCAGAUAUCAGGAGGAACACCGGUGGCGAAGGCGGGUCUCUGGGCCGAUACUGACGCUGAGGAGCGAAAGCGUGGGGAGCGAACAGG